This 347-nucleotide unclassified non-coding RNA is filed under the name rhizosphere metagenome. RNAcentral describes it as "partial ribosomal RNA internal transcribed spacer region". The record is from RNAcentral.
AUAGGUGAACCUGCGGAAGGAUCAUUAUCACGUAUCCACGUUAUCAACCCAUUGGUACUCUGUGUUUUCUACCCUCCGCCCGUGCAACGAAUGGCUCUAGGUAUUUCAUGCUUCAGUGCUGACUAUCCAUUUGCACGGUCCAAGUCGAAUCCCACUCUGGUGUGUCGUUAAGUCACGCUGUUGGGAAUCGACCAAACCGAAUCCACCAUACUAACACCUUAUUACAAUAGUUGACUUUGACUGUACAGUUCGGAGACCGGAACGUUGAAAACUCCAUAUCCUUACUAUACACGUUUAUUUACUUGAACGUUAAAAUACAACUCUUAGCAAUGGAUAUCUUGGUUCUC